UGAGGGGAGGAAUGUGAACCUGAAACCAUGUGCUUACAAGCUGUCGGAGUACUAUGCCCUUCGGGGAAUGUAUGACGGCGUGCCUUUUGCAUAAUGAUCCGGCGAGUUACCGCCAGCGGCUUGGUUAAGGCCUUACGGGCUGAAGCCAUAGGGAAACCGAGUCUGAAUAGGGCGACAAUUGGUCGCUGGUGGUAGACCCGAAACUGCGUGAACUACCCAUGGGCAGGAUGAAGCGCGGGUUAAACUGCGUGGAGGUCCGAACUCGUCUGGGUUGAAAACCGGUGGGAUGACCUGUGGGGAGGAGUGAAAGUUUAAUCAAACGCAGAGAUAGCUGGUUCUCACCGAAAUAUAUUGAGGUAUAGCCUCGAGGAACUACAUUGUGGGGGUAGAGAGACUGAAUUGGCGUGGGGGUCAUUUUCGACUACCCAGCCGAGCCAAACUCCGAAUACCAUAUUGACUACCUCGGGAGAUAGACUGCGAGGGAUAAGCUUCGUAGUCGAGAGGGAAACAACCCAGACCAACAGCUAAGGCCCCAAAUUGAUACUUAGUCACUAAGGAAGUGACGUUACUGUGAUAGCCAGGAUGUUGGCUUAGAAGCAGCCACCAUUUAAAAAGUGCGUAACAGCUUACUGGUCGAGUAAUGUCGCGCCGAUAAUGAAUGGGAGUAAGUAUCAAGCCGAAGCUUUGGAAUCGUAAGAUUGGUAGGUGAGCGCUGUAUAGCAGAUAUAAGUGACACGGUAACGAGUCAUGCCGGGCUAUACAGGUGAUUAUGCCGGAAUGAGUAACGAUAAUGCAGGUGAGAAUCCUGCACGCCGAAAACCUAAGGUUUCCUGGGGAAGGGAAAUCCGCCCAGGGUUGGCCGGUACCUUAGUCGAGGCCGAAAGGCGUAGACGAUGGAUAGCAUGUCAAUAUUCCUGCGCUGCUAACGUGAACUGAUGGAGGGACGGCGUCUCGAAAGUGAGCGGUACGACUAGAAAUGUCCGUGGAGUACAGCAAGGUGAGGAAUAGGUAAAUCCGUCCUCGUAAGCCAAGUUGUAGGCCCGAGAGCGUUUAUGUUCUCGAAGUCACUGGAGGGACGUCCAAGAAAAUCUUCUAAGGGUUAAAGCGUUAGUAACCGUACUAAAACUGAUAUAGGUAGGCGAGACGAGUAGUCUCAGGCGCUCGGGAGAACGGUGGUUAAGGAACUCUGCAAAUUCACCCCGUAACUUCGGGAUAAGGGGUGCCAGCGUAAGCUGGCCACAGAAAAUCGGCUCUAGCAACUGUUUAUCAAAAACACAGGACUCUGCCAACUCGUAAGAGGAUGUAUAGAGUCUGACGCCUGCCCGGUGCCAGAAGGUUAAGGAAGAGGGUUAGUCGCAAGACGAAGCUCGCAACCGAAGCCCUGGUAAACGGCGGCCGUAACUAUGUCGGUCCUAAGGUAGCGAAGUUCCUUGUCGGGUAAGUUCCGACCUGUAUGAAUGGCGUAAAG
RNAcentral lists this ribosomal RNA (1468 nucleotides) under metagenome. Its description in RNAcentral is "bacterial LSU rRNA". It matches the Rfam family "Bacterial large subunit ribosomal RNA", at positions 530 to 2006 of the family's 2925-position model. The record is from RNAcentral.